Molecule: ribosomal RNA, 119 nt
Filed under: Oncorhynchus kisutch (coho salmon)
Lineage: Eukaryota; Metazoa; Chordata; Actinopteri; Salmoniformes; Salmonidae
Source: RNAcentral
GCUUACGACCAUACCGGCCUGAGUACGCCUGAUCUCGUCUGAUCUCGGAAGCUAAGCAGGGUCGGGCCUGGUUAGUACUUGGAUGGGAGACAGCCUGGGAAUACCAGGUGCUGUAAGCU